Molecule: transfer RNA, 64 nt
Organism: Cavia porcellus (domestic guinea pig)
Lineage: Eukaryota; Metazoa; Chordata; Mammalia; Rodentia; Caviidae
Rfam family: tRNA
About the family: Transfer RNA (tRNA) molecules are approximately 80 nucleotides in length.
Source: Rfam
AGGGAUUUAGCUCAGCAGCAUAAGCUCCUGCCUUGCAAGCAGGCAGUUGUGAGUUCAAUCCCUG